UGGGGAAUUUUGGACAAUGGGCGAAAGCCUGAUCCAGCCAUGCCGCGUGAGUGAAGAAGGCCUUCGGGUUGUAAAGCUCUUUUAGUCGGAAAGAAAGAGUCGCAAUGAAUAAUUGUGAUUUAUGACGGUACCGACAGAAAAAGCACCGGCUAACUACGUGCCAGCAGCCGCGGUAAUACGUAGGGUGCGAGCGUUAAUCGGAAUUACUGGGCGUAAAGGGUGCGCAGGCGGUUUUGCAAGUCAGAUGUGAAAGCCCCGGGCUUAACCUGGGAAUUGCGUUUGAAACUACAAGGCUAGAGUGCAGCAGAGGGGAGUGGAAUUCCACGUGUAGCAGUGAAAUGCGUAGAGAUGUGGAAGAACACCGAUGGCGAAGGCAGCUCCCUGGGUUGACACUGACGCUCAUGCACGAAAGCGUGGGGAGCAAACA
Molecule: ribosomal RNA, 427 nt
Filed under: uncultured beta proteobacterium
Lineage: Bacteria; Pseudomonadati; Pseudomonadota; Betaproteobacteria
Description: bacterial SSU rRNA
Rfam family: Bacterial small subunit ribosomal RNA
Source: RNAcentral